This 303-nucleotide ribosomal RNA is filed under the name uncultured bacterium. RNAcentral describes it as "partial 16S ribosomal RNA". It matches the Rfam family "Bacterial small subunit ribosomal RNA", at positions 507 to 809 of the family's 1533-position model. The record is from RNAcentral.
AGCAGUAGCCGCGGUAAUACGUAGGUGGCAAGCGUUGUCCGGAAUUAUUGGGCGUAAAGGGCUCGCAGGCGGUUUCUUAAGUCUGAUGUGAAAGCCCCCGGCUCAACCGGGGAGGGUCAUUGGAAACUGGGAAACUUGAGUGCAGAAGAGGAGAGUGGAACUCCACGUGUAGCGGUGAAAUGCGUAGAGAUGUGGAGGAACACCAGUGGCGAAGGCGACUCUCUGGUCUGUAACUGACGCUGAGGAGCGAAAGCGUGGGGAGCGAACAGGAUUAGAUACCCCCGUAGUCCCUGUCUCUUAUAA